AAAAAAAUUGAUAAUAAAAAUAAUAAAAAAUAAUGUGAUAAAUAUAAUAAUAAAAAGACUUUGAUUUUUUUAUAUUGAUUUUCCUUGAUUUUUAUACUAAAAAACAUGAAAAAUCAAUAAUAUAAUAAUUAUUAAAAACAAAAUAAUAAAAAAUUCAAAAAUAAAUAAAUAAGUAAGUGCAAUUUUAAUUAUAAAAUAA
RNAcentral lists this long non-coding RNA (199 nucleotides) under Lathyrus oleraceus (garden pea). RNAcentral describes it as "Pisum sativum (pea) long non-coding RNA (PSAT_LNC015126)". Lineage: Eukaryota; Viridiplantae; Streptophyta; Magnoliopsida; Fabales; Fabaceae. The record is from RNAcentral.